Molecule: ribosomal RNA, 609 nt
Filed under: Meyerozyma guilliermondii
Lineage: Eukaryota; Fungi; Ascomycota; Pichiomycetes; Serinales; Debaryomycetaceae
Description: eukaryotic LSU rRNA
Rfam family: 5.8S ribosomal RNA (bases 228-381)
Source: RNAcentral
UCUGGAACUAAUAAAAUGUAACAAGGUUUCCGUAGGUGAACCUGCGGAAGGAUCAUUACAGUAUUCUUUUGCCAGCGCUUAACUGCGCGGCGAAAAACCUUACACACAGUGUCUUUUUGAUACAGAACUCUUGCUUUGGUUUGGCCUAGAGAUAGGUUGGGCCAGAGGUUUAACAAAACACAAUUUAAUUAUUUUUACAGUUAGUCAAAUUUUGAAUUAAUCUUCAAAACUUUCAACAACGGAUCUCUUGGUUCUCGCAUCGAUGAAGAACGCAGCGAAAUGCGAUAAGUAAUAUGAAUUGCAGAUUUUCGUGAAUCAUCGAAUCUUUGAACGCACAUUGCGCCCUCUGGUAUUCCAGAGGGCAUGCCUGUUUGAGCGUCAUUUCUCUCUCAAACCCCCGGGUUUGGUAUUGAGUGAUACUCUUAGUCGGACUAGGCGUUUGCUUGAAAAGUAUUGGCAUGGGUAGUACUAGAUAGUGCUGUCGACCUCUCAAUGUAUUAGGUUUAUCCAACUCGUUGAAUGGUGUGGCGGGAUAUUUCUGGUAUUGUUGGCCCGGCCUUACAACAACCAAACAAGUUGACCUCAAAGCAGAUAAAAAACAACCACUCG